AGGGUUCGAUUCCGGAGAGGGAGCCUGAGAAAUGGCUACCACAUCCAAGGGAGGCAACAGGCGCGAAAAUUACCCAAUCCAGACACUGGGAGGUGGCUACGAAAAAUACUGGGUCGUUUCCCUACGGGAUGCGACACCGGAAUGAGCACAAUUUAAGACAUUUGUCGAGUAACAACUGGAGGGCAAGUCUGGUGCCAGCAGCCGCGGUAAUUCCAGCUCCAGCAGCGAGUGUGAAUGUUGCUGCAGUUAAAACGCUCGUAGUUGAAUGAUGCGCGCCGGGCCACGGAGUGGAUCGCCCCUGCCAGCAAACUGGAGGCAGCGAGACGACUGGCCAGACUCAGUCUGCGUCGGCGCUCGCGUGCAGCCAGUGGCAGGGCGCGCUGUCCACCACCAUGUGGCUCCGCGCGGAUUAUCGUGAGAGUGCUGCAUGGCCUUCGCUGGCUGUGCAGCGCGUCUUGCGGAUUGUGCCUUGAGUAAAUCAGAGUGCUCAGAGCAGGCAGCCUGCCUGAAUGUAAUAGCAUGGAACGAACAAAUGUGAUUGUACGUGUCGCGCUGGGGCCGGCGCGCGCUGGCUCUGUCGGCUCGCAGUCCGGCCCCCGCACACAGCACCAACCACCAGGACGGAUGUUGGUUUCCGUCGUGGGGUGAUGAUUGAGAGGGGCGGUUGGGGGCAUUAGUAUUUGGCCGCGAGAGGUGAAAUUCUUGGACCGGCCAAGGACUAACAAAUGCAAAAGCAUUUGCCAAGACCGUUCCCGUUGAUCAAGAGCGAUAGUGAGAGGUUCGAAGACGAUCAGAUACCGUCCUAGUUCUCACCGUAAACGAUGCCAACCCGGGAUCAGUUUUGA
Molecule: ribosomal RNA, 845 nt
Filed under: Triactinomyxon sp. type DF
Lineage: Eukaryota; Metazoa; Cnidaria; Myxozoa
Description: SSU rRNA
Rfam family: Eukaryotic small subunit ribosomal RNA
Source: RNAcentral